GACGAACGCUGGCGGCGUGCUUAACACAUGCAAGUCGAACGGAAAGGCCCUGCUCUUGUGGGUUGCUCGAGUGUCGAACAGGUGAGUAACACGUGAGUAACAUGCCCUUUACUUUGGGAUAACUUCAGGAAAAUGGGUCUAAUACCGGAUAGGAGCUCCUGCUGCAUGGUGGGGGUUGGAAAGUUUCGGAGGUUUGGGAUGGACGCGCGGCUUAUCAGCUUGUUGGUGGGGUAGUGGCUUACCAAGGCAUUGACGGGUAGCCGGACUGAGAGGGUGACCGGGCACAUACGGACAGAGGAGCGAGCAAUACGGAUACGUGAGGAAGCGGUGGAGAAUAGUGCAAGAAGGGCGGAGGGCGUAAGGAGGGUCGCCGGGUGGUAGAGGACUGUCGUAAGUUUAGAAACCGUUUGCGCGUGGGACGAAGAGUGAGUGACGGUAAUGUGUAAGAAAGCACCGGCUAACUACGUG
Molecule: ribosomal RNA, 468 nt
Filed under: uncultured bacterium
Lineage: Bacteria
Description: partial 16S ribosomal RNA
Rfam family: Bacterial small subunit ribosomal RNA
Source: RNAcentral